RNAcentral lists this ribosomal RNA (323 nucleotides) under uncultured eukaryote. RNAcentral describes it as "partial 18S ribosomal RNA". It matches the Rfam family "Eukaryotic small subunit ribosomal RNA", at positions 1470 to 1796 of the family's 1831-position model. The record is from RNAcentral.
CCCUUAGAUGUUCUGGGCCGCACGCGCGCUACACUGAUGCAUGCAACGAGUUCUAUCCUUGGCCGGAAGGCCUGGGUAAUCUGUGAACGUGCAUCGUGAUAGGGAUAGAUUAUUGCAAUUAUUAAUCUUGAACGAGGAAUUCCUAGUAAACGCAAGUCAUCAGCUUGCAUUGAUUACGUCCCUGCCCUUUGUACACACCGCACGUCGCACCUACCGAUCGAAGGUAAUGAUGAGCCCUCAGGAUUGUGGCCUCGUCGCGUCAGCGUCUUGGCUGCGAGAAUCUGUGCAAAUCCCUACCUUUAGAGGAAGGUGAAGUCGUAACA